Molecule: long non-coding RNA, 758 nt
Organism: Capsicum annuum
Lineage: Eukaryota; Viridiplantae; Streptophyta; Magnoliopsida; Solanales; Solanaceae
Exons: 4
Source: RefSeq, a predicted model, not a curated record
CAAUGUUGUCUUGAAAUAAAUUCUGUAAUUCCUCAGGCAUUUGGGAGAAAGUCACUUUAUUCGAGCCCUUAUCUCAACAAAAACUUGGCGGCUCAUACUGAAAUUUUUUGCGGCACAAAAUUUACAGUCAGGUCACAAGAUAAUGUUUAAGGGUUUGAUCAUUAGCAUUGAAGCUAUGCAAGUUGGUCAAAAGAGAAGACUCGUUAUUGCACCAUCGUUGAGUUGGUGCAGCCCCGAAAGCAAGGCUAAGCCUCCAAUACUGGUCAGCUAUAUGAAUCAAUGAGGAUAGAGGGGAAAACUACAUGAAUCUAUUUACUUACAAAUCUACCCUUAUCCUUGAAUGACAAUUUCCUGAGUAUCACUCCUGCAUAAACAGAUAUAAAAAUGCUCCUGUGAAUGAGAGGUUGCUGCUAUCAGUCGUUUAGCAGACUGUAGUUCGUGUAUACUCCUAAUUUUGUAGCAUGUAAGUUAAUGAAGCACAAUAAUACUACAUUUAAGGCGGCAUACAUACAUAUAUUAAACAAUAUUUACAAUAACCAUAAGUGCGUCAUCCAGUCAAAUUGCUUCAGACCAUUGUUCUAGUACUAGUUAGAAUACAACCCAAAAAGCUUACAAUCCUUGUAUUUUCAGCUAUAACACGAUCAUAUUCCAAAUGUAUAGCGGCGGGAUGGGAGAGCUAAGAGUCCAGCCAACUUUUGGCAUUCCUAAAAACAGGUACGACAUCCCUAAGGUGAAGAGGUAAAUACUAGUAGCCUGAG